CACAAGAGAACCUGGGUAAGGUGCAGUUUGGGCAGCAGCAAAUAUCUGGCUUGAAUCAUGGCUGGAUGUUUACUGUAUUAUUUAGAAGGAAAGCUGGAGCUGUGAUGAUUCCUAAAUAGAAUAAGACAGGCUGACACAGACAUGAAGACUGGCAAGUCAGAAUAAGCUCCUGGUGACCUUGAAUCUACUUUCUGCUGCUGAGAAUUUACCUAUUUUGGAUGCUUCAUGAGACGAUUCCUCUUAGCAAAAGGGCACUGUGUACCCUCCAAGGCUGGAAAUGAUAGGUUUUCGGCGAGGAGUGAAAAUAUUGUGCUGACAGCCCUUUGCCUGUGUAGAGCAGGGUUGUUUACUCGCGCUGGAGCACAGCUUUAUUGAAGCAGAGAGUCAUGGUCCCAUCAUCAGGGUUGCCUAGCAACCAGUCUACGCCACUCCACAGAGUUUCAGAAUGGGCUGGACCACAAGUACCCACUUUGGGGGAUUUCCAGUGACAGUCCUACUCUCACUCCAUCACAUCGCUUCUAAAAUCUGAGUCACAUGGUUCAAAUUUCACAGUACAAAGUGUGUUCUUCAGAUCUGGGGUUCUCUCCAAAAUGGAUAAUCAUUAUUGAUUUUGUAAUGCAAUGCCAAGACCAUCAGUAAGGUUAUGUGAAGUUGGCAGUUCCCAAGGGCUUUAGGCUUGAAGCUGUGGGUCAUACCCCUUCGGAAACUUGGUCCCCAAGAGAAAUGUAUGCUUCUGAAAACCACAGGUGCAUGAAUCGUGUUUAGUAAAUGACUACUAAACUGAAAUCAGGACUUGUCUAUAUCUUGGCUUCUCAAACUUGAAUAUGCUUAUCAUCUGGAUAGCAAAAGCAUUCCUACACGUUGAGGCCUGCCAGCGUGGGUGUCACCCAGGAGCCACUCGGAAAGGCUCAUCGGAAACCACCCCGGACUGACUGAGGCAGAAUCUCUGGGGGCAGGACCCAGGCCUCAGCAUAAAAACUCCAGGUGACGGAAGAGCUCCCACCUAACAGGUGUGUUGGCAUUGUUGUAGGUGACUGACGUAGUUUCCCAUCUCACAACUCUACCUCCAUGAAGAAAAGUCAUGGAAAAUUGAGACUUUGGGCUGAGUGUGGCUCAUCCCUGUAAUCUUAGUGCUUUGGGAGGCUGAGGUAGGAGGAUCGCUUGAGGCCAGGAAUUUGAGGCCAGCCUGAGCAACAUAGUGUCUCUUCAAAAAACUAAGUUUAUUCUUUCCUCUUUUUUAGUUUUUAUUUUACACGGCUCACUGUGGCUUUGACCUCCCAUGCUGAAGCGAUCCUCCUAUCUCAACCUCUCAAGUAGCUGGAAGCACAGGCAUGCACCACCACACCUGGCUAAUUUUUUUCUUCCUUUUUUAAAGAGACAGUCUUGCCAUGUUGCCCAGGCCCUGUUGACCAGGAAAAAAAAAAGUUUUUUUUCUUUUUUAAAGAAAGAAAAUAAAAGAGACUGAGAAACCACAGAAAUAAAGAAGCGCUGAUGACAAUGCCUGCUUGCUGAUGGUUACGAUGAUCAUAGCAGUGUGCAUUUUGUAUGCAUGAAGCCUGCGACUAAAUAAACGUGUGGGGAAAUAUUUGUAAGGAAAUAAGCUAUUAAUAAAAUAAGCUAAAAUCAC
This 1627-nucleotide long non-coding RNA is filed under the name Homo sapiens (human). RNAcentral's name for it is "HSALNT0348679". Lineage: Eukaryota; Metazoa; Chordata; Mammalia; Primates; Hominidae. The record is from RNAcentral.